This 833-nucleotide ribosomal RNA is filed under the name uncultured bacterium. RNAcentral's name for it is "bacterial SSU rRNA". It matches the Rfam family "Bacterial small subunit ribosomal RNA", at positions 8 to 834 of the family's 1533-position model. The record is from RNAcentral.
AGAGUUUGAUCCUGGCUCAGGAUGAAUGCUAGCGGCAGGCUUAACACAUGCAAGUCGAGGGGCAGCGCGGUAGUAGCAAUACUACUGGCGGCGACCGGCAGAAGGGUGCGUAACACGUGAGCAACCUGCCCGUGACAGGGGGAUAACCGACGGAAACGUCGCCUAAUACCCCGUAACAACUUCGGAGGCAUCUCCGGAGUUUGAAAGACACGUCAGUCACGGAUGGGCUCGCGGUACAUUAGCUGGUUGGCGGGGUAACGGCCCACCAAGGCGACGAUGUAUAGGGGUUCUGAGAGGAAGGUCCCCCACACUGGAACUGAGACACGGUCCAGACUCCUACGGGAGGCAGCAGUGAGGAAUAUUGGACAAUGGAGGCAACUCUGAUCCAGCCAUGCCGCGUGAAGGAAUAAGGCCCUAUGGGUCGUAAACUUCUUUUGACGCAGAGCAAUAAGGACUACGUGUAGUCUGAUGAGAGUAUGCGUCGAACAAGCAUCGGCUAACUCCGUGCCAGCAGCCGCGGUAAUACGGAGGAUGCGAGCGUUAUCCGGAUUUAUUGGGUUUAAAGGGUGCGUAGGCGGUUGAUUAGGUCUAUGGUGAAAUGGUUGUGCUCAACACAAUUUAGCUGUAGAAACCGGUCAGCUAGAAUAUAAGUGGCGUAGGCGGAAUAAAGCGUGUAGAGGUGACAUUCAUAGAUAUGCUUUAGAACACCGUUCGCGAAGGCGGCUUACGAAGGUAAAAUUGACGCUAAUGCACGAGAGCGUGGGUAUCGAACAGAAUUAGAUACUCUGGUAGUCCACGCUGUAAACAAUGAUAACUAUAUGUCGGCCAUAGAA